RNAcentral lists this ribosomal RNA (368 nucleotides) under Eburia quadrigeminata. RNAcentral's name for it is "partial 12S ribosomal RNA". Lineage: Eukaryota; Metazoa; Arthropoda; Insecta; Coleoptera; Cerambycidae. The record is from RNAcentral.
UACCCUAUUAUUUUAAACGUUAAUUCGUAAACUUGAUUAGUAAUAGUUAUGUUCUUGAAAAUUAAAGAUUUUGGCGGUAUUUUAGUCUGUUCAGAGGAACCUGUCCUGUAAUCGAUGACCCACGAUAAAUUGAACUUUUUCUUUAAGUUUAUAUAUCGUCGUGUUUGAAUAUUUCUUUAGAAUUUGAAUAUUCAUGAUUUUAUUUUGAAAGUAAAUCAGAUCAAGGUGUGGCUUAUGAGAAAGGAAGAGAUGGGUUACAUUAAAUUUAUUUAUGAGAUUAAUUUCUUGAAAUGAAAUAUGAAUACGGAUUUGAUAGUAAUUUUAAUUAUUUUAUUAAGAUGACUUAAGCUCUAAAAUAUGCACAUAUC